Molecule: long non-coding RNA, 1938 nt
Organism: Medicago truncatula (barrel medic)
Lineage: Eukaryota; Viridiplantae; Streptophyta; Magnoliopsida; Fabales; Fabaceae
Exons: 2
Source: RefSeq, a predicted model, not a curated record
UUUCUUUCAUAAUUCUUUCUUAUCAUAAUUAAGGAUGUUCAUGUCAUUUUAUUAAUAUUGCAUAUUUCUUUCUUAUCAUAUUUUUCUUUCAUUUUCUCUCAUAUCAAACUAUUUAGUAAUCUCUUUUUUCAUUUUAUUUUAUUUUCUUUAAUAAAUGGUCGUUCGAGAUAUAGUACAAACAAACAUUAAUAGAUGUAAAUGUUUCCUAUGUUUUUGAAUAGUUUUUUGAUUCAUUGAGAGGUUACAUAUUGUUAACUUUGAUUUUAGGGUAAGCUCCAAAAAUUGUUAAAUUGUGAAUAUUGAAAAGCCCUGGAGAAGCUUAUGAUAGACUACAUAGAGAGAUUUUGUGGAAAGCUUUGGAGAAGAAAGGGGUGAGGAUUGCCUAUAUUAGAGUUAUCCAUGAUAUGUAUGAGGGAGCUUCGACUAGUGUGAGGACGCAGGAUGGGGAUACUGUAGAUUUUCCCUUAACAAAAGGACUCCACCAAGGGUAAACCCUAAGUCCUUAUCUCUUUACUCUAGUUUUGGAUGUACUGACAGAACACAUCCAAGAGUUAGCACCGAGAUGUAUGCUUUUUGCAGAUGAUGCAAUCUUGCUUGGUGAGUUGAGGGAGGAAUUAAAUGGGAGGCUAGAGACCUGGAGGCAAGCCUUAGAAGAGUAUGGUUUCCGCCUGAGUAGAAGCAAGACGGAGUAUAUGGAAUGUAACUUCAGCAAAAGGAGAAGUGGGUCUACCUUGGAGGUGAAAGUUGGAGAUCAUAUCAUACCCCAAGUUACACGGUUUAAAUAUCUUGGGUCCAUAGUACCAAAUGAAGGAGAAAUAGAAGCAGAUGCAAAUCAUCGUAUUCAAGCUGGGUGGUUGAAAUAGAGAUGAGCCUCAGGUGUUUUGUGCGAUAAGAAAGUACCACUUAAAUUGAAAGGAAAGUUCUAUCGGACAGUAGUCAGACUGACAAUGUUGUAUGGUACGAAGUGUUGGGCGGUUAAGAGCCAACACGAAAGUAAGUGUAGCGGAGAUGGGGAUGUUGCGCUUGAUGAGUGGUAAGACUAGACAUGAUAGGAUUAGGAAUGUCACCAUUAGAGAGAGAGUGAGGGUAGCCCCUAUAGUAGAAAAGUUGGUAGAAAAUAGGCUUAGAUGGUUUGGACAUGUAGAGAGAAGACCCGUAGAUGCCGUUGUUAGAAGAAUGAAUCAAAUGGAGGAGAGUCAGGUUAAAAGAGGUAGAGGAAGACCUAAGAAAACCAUUAGAGAAACCAUUAUAAAAGAUUUAGAGGUCAAUGAGUUGGAUCCAAAUAUGGUUUUUGAUAGAACACUACGGCGUCAUUUGAUCCAUGUAGCCGACCCCACUUAGUGGGAUAAGGCUUGGUUGUUGUUGUAAUAUUGGUUGAAAUGUUAGAUCUUACCAAUUCUUGACUAGUUUGCAUAACUUAACCCUAAGCUAUCUAAUUGUUGUAGGUACCUCUACUUGGUGGAACAUUUUGUGCAUGCACAUGACAUUUCUUUUAUAACUCUGACUCCCUUUAGGUAUUGGUAGCUCUUCAAGCGGCACUAACUGUUAUAGGUAAUUUCACAAUGUGCCUAGCCGCAUACCGGAUAUACAAAUCAUCCCGCGAAAGCUCUGAGAAUAUUUGAAGUGUUUGAUUACAAGUAUCUCGACGUAGCAUCUACGCUUGAAUGAAAGUCCUAAUCUUUUACCGAGUUACAAAAUUAUUCAGUGACAAAGAUGGAAUCUAUAAGAUACUGAUACACUUUUGUUCCUUGAUGUUGCUUUUGAUCUUAUCUGUGUAACUUUGGUAUCUAGCUUUCUUUUCACAUGAUACUGUCUCCACUAGAGAAUUCAAUUGCAUACUGAUACAUUAAAGUGACCUUUCCCUGUAUUAUUUGUCAAUGUCAAUAGAAUACUUUGUGUAUAGUACAUUGCUAAGAAUGCUUAAACCUUUUUUCAUUU